UACGGAGGGUGCAAGCGUUAUCCGGAUUCACUGGGUUUAAAGGGUGCGUAGGAGGGCAGGUAAGUCAGUGGUGAAAUCCUAGAGCUUAACUCUAGAACUGCCGUUGAUACUAUCUGUCUUGAAUCCCGUGGAGAUGAGCGGAAUAUGUCAUGUAGCGGUGAAAUGCUUAGAUAUGACAUAGAACACCAAUUGCGAAGGCAGCUCGUUACACGAAGAUUGACUCUGAGGCACGAAAGCGUGGGGAUCAAACAGGAUUAGAAACCCCAGUAGUCC
This 273-nucleotide ribosomal RNA is filed under the name uncultured bacterium. RNAcentral's name for it is "partial 16S ribosomal RNA". It matches the Rfam family "Bacterial small subunit ribosomal RNA", at positions 524 to 796 of the family's 1533-position model. The record is from RNAcentral.